Molecule: unclassified non-coding RNA, 200 nt
Filed under: Ascomycota sp.
Lineage: Eukaryota; Fungi; Ascomycota
Description: partial internal transcribed spacer 2
Source: RNAcentral
UUAAGUUCAGCGGGUAUCCCUACCUGAUCCGAGGUCAACCUGUAAAAGAUUGGGGGUUGCUGGCCAGUGCCGCCCGGGACCCUGUAGCGAGAAGAUUUACUACGCUCAGAGCCCGGCCGUACCGCCACUGAUUUUGAGGCCCGCCCAGAGGCGGUGCCCAAGACCCCGCGAGCGGGAUUGGUCAUAAUGACGCUCGAACA